This 439-nucleotide ribosomal RNA is filed under the name uncultured bacterium. Its description in RNAcentral is "partial 16S ribosomal RNA". It matches the Rfam family "Bacterial small subunit ribosomal RNA", at positions 339 to 795 of the family's 1533-position model. The record is from RNAcentral.
CUACGGGACGCAGCAGUGGGGAAUAUUGGACAAUGGAGGAAACUCUGAUCCAGCCAUGCCGCGUGAGUGAAGAAGGCCUUAGGGUUGUAAAGCUCUUUCGCAAGGGAAGAUAAUGACGGUACCUUGAUAAGAAGCCCCGGCUAACUUCGUGCCAGCAGCCGCGGUAAUACGAAGGGGGCUAGCGUUGUUCGGAAUUACUGGGCGUAAAGCGCGCGUAGGCGGUUUGGAAAGUCAGGUGUGAAAGCCCGGGGCUCAACCCCGGAACUGCACUUGAAACUAUCAAACUAGAAUCCGGUAGAGGGCAGUGGAAUUCCUAGUGUAGCGGUGAAAUGCGUAGAUAUUAGGAGGAACACCAGUGGCGAAGGCGACUGCCUGGGCCGGUAUUGACGCUGAGGUGCGAAAGCGUGGGGAGCAAACGGGAUUAGAUACCCCCGUAGUC